Molecule: ribosomal RNA, 497 nt
Filed under: uncultured bacterium
Lineage: Bacteria
Description: partial 16S ribosomal RNA
Rfam family: Bacterial small subunit ribosomal RNA
Source: RNAcentral
GACGAACGCUGGCGGCGUGCCUAAUACAUGCAAGUUGAGCGAUGAAGAUUGGUGCUUGCACCAAUUUGAAGAGCAGCGGACGGGUGAGUAACGCGUGGGGAAUCUGCCUUUGAGCGGGGGACAACAUUUGGAAACGAAUGCUAAUACCGCAUAACAACUUUAAACAUAAGUUUUAAGUUUGAAAGAUGCAAUUGCAUCACUCAAAGAUGAUCCCGCGUUGUAUUAGCUAGUUGGUGAGGUAAAGGCUCACCAAGGCGAUGAUACAUAGCCGACCUGAGAGGGUGAUCGGCCACAUUGGGACUGAGACACGGCCCAAACUCCUACGGGAGGCAGCAGUAGGGAAUCUUCGGCAAUGGACGAAAGUCUGACCGAGCAACGCCGCGUGAGUGAAGAAGGUUUUCGGAUCGUAAAACUCUGUUGGUAGAGAAGAACGUUGGUGAGAGUGGAAAGCUCAUCAAGUGACGGUAACUACCCAGAAAGGGACGGCUAACUACGUG